This 467-nucleotide ribosomal RNA is filed under the name uncultured bacterium. RNAcentral's name for it is "partial 16S ribosomal RNA". It matches the Rfam family "Bacterial small subunit ribosomal RNA", at positions 28 to 507 of the family's 1533-position model. The record is from RNAcentral.
GACGAACGCUGGCGGCGUGCUUAACACAUGCAAGUCGAACGGAAAGGCCCUGCUUUUGUGGGGUGCUCGAGUGGCGAACGGGUGAGUAACACGUGAGUAACCUGCCCUUGACUUUGGGAUAACUUCAGGAAACUGGGGCUAAUACCGGAUAGGAGCUCCUGCUGCAUGGUGGGGGUUGGAAAGUUUCGGCGGUUGGGGUUGGACUUCCGGCUAUUCAGCUUGUUGGUGGGGUAGUGAUUUACCAAGGCUUUGCCGGGUGGCCGGCCGGGGGGGGUGACGGCCAAAGUGGGGAUGGAGUGACGCCCAGACCACGUACGGAGGGAAGAGGGGGGAAAAGUUGCACAUGGGACGGAGGCUGAUGCAGCAACGCCGCGUGCGGGAUGACGGCCUUCGGGUUGUAAACCGCUUUCGCCUGUGACGAAGCGUGAGUGACGGUAAUGGGUAAAGAAGCACCGGCUAACUACGUG